GGGGGGGGGGGGGGGGGGGGGGGGGGGGGGGGGGGGGGGGGGGGGGGGCGGGCGGGUGGGGGGGGCUGGAGGGGGGGGCGGGGGGUGGACGGGUGGGGAACCUGCGCUGGGGUGUGGGGUAACGUCGGGGGAAUGGGGGUAAUGCGCGGUCGGAGCGCCGGACGCAUGUUGUGGGGUGGAAAGAUUCGGCGGUGGGGGAUGGCUUCCAGGCGUAUCAGUUUGGUGGUGGGGGAGUGGUUUACCAAGGCAUCGACGGGUAGCCGGCCUGAGAGGGUGACCGGCCACAUUGGGACUGAGAUACGGCCCAGACUCCUACGGGAGGCAGCAGUGGGGAAUAUGGCACAAUGGGCGGAGGUCUGAUGCAGCAACGCCGCGUGCGGGAUGACGGCCUUCGGGUUGUAAACCGCUUUCGCCUGUGACGAAGCGUGAGUGACGGUAAUGGGUAAAGAAGCACCGGCUAACUACGUG
RNAcentral lists this ribosomal RNA (468 nucleotides) under uncultured bacterium. RNAcentral describes it as "partial 16S ribosomal RNA". The stretch from base 52 to 468 matches the Rfam family "Bacterial small subunit ribosomal RNA", at positions 39 to 507 of the family's 1533-position model. The record is from RNAcentral.